Molecule: non-coding RNA, 104 nt
Filed under: Citricoccus muralis
Lineage: Bacteria; Bacillati; Actinomycetota; Actinomycetes; Micrococcales; Micrococcaceae
Also listed under: 1 other name
Description: TPP riboswitch aptamer (THI element)
Rfam family: TPP riboswitch aptamer (THI element)
About the family: Vitamin B(1) in its active form thiamin pyrophosphate (TPP) is an essential coenzyme that is synthesised by coupling of pyrimidine and thiazole moieties in bacteria.
Source: Rfam by way of RNAcentral
UGUGAACGACAGGGGAGCACCUUCGGGUGCUGAGAGUGCGCUCAGCGCAGACCCUCGAACCUGCUCCGGCUAGCACCGGCGAAGGAAGUCGAGUUCUCUGAUGG